Molecule: ribosomal RNA, 279 nt
Filed under: uncultured bacterium
Lineage: Bacteria
Description: partial 16S ribosomal RNA
Rfam family: Bacterial small subunit ribosomal RNA
Source: RNAcentral
UGCCAGCCGCCGCGGUAAUACGGAGAGUGCAAGCGUUGUUCGGAAUCAUUGGGCGUAAAGGGCGUCUAGGUGGCCCGCCAAGUCAGAUGUGAAAGCCCACGGCUUAACCGUGGAACUGCAUUUGAAACUGGCGAGCUCGAGUAUCAGAGGGGCUAGCGGAAUUCCCGGUGUAGGGGUGAAAUCCGUAGAUAUCGGGAGGAACACCAGUGGCGAAGGCGGCUGGCUGGCUGAAUACUGACACUGAAGCGCGAAAGCAUGGGGAGCAAACAGGAUUAGAUA